AUCUUCUUCCUGCCCUCGCCGUGGCGGGCGACGGUUUCUCGCGCCGUGGCUGGCUCGGCCGGCCGGGGCACCGCGCCGGGCUCCAUGCAGCCGGGCUGCGCGGUCCCGCAGAGCGGGCGCCUCCGGGGCUCGAGUCGGGGACCCGGCAGGAGCGGGCCGGGGAUGGCGGCGGCGGGCGGCGGGUCGGCCGUGGAGCCCCGGAGAGGCGGCCGCCACCACCGCUGCCCGCAGUCUGCGAGGUGUCCGGCGGUCCGCUCAGGGCCUCUUUUGCAGACUCGGUGCCCGGAGUGCGCCGGCGCCGCCCGCCAGGUCUUGGCACUGCUGGCGCGGCCGCGGCGGCGGGGGCCCGGCUCCAGAUCACCGACCCCCACGAGCGCCGGCCCUGCCUGCCCGCUAUUUUGGUUCCAUCUCUUCUGCAUAUUUAUGCUUGCCUGUUACAUUCCCUGGCCUCUGAGUGUCCUUUGGCAGUUUCCAAAGCAUUUGGGCAAGAAGGAGCUUGGGCAGCUUCACAACAGGUUUAUUGGGCACUUCCUAGCACCAGGCACUGCAAUAAGAAAUGGAGGUUAAACCAUGAAGAAACAUGGCUCUAGCCCUUAGGGAGCUCCCGGUCCUGCAGACCCCACAUAUAGGAACCAUCGGAUCCCUGUGUACAGAUGAAGAACUGAGUCUUGGAAAGCUUAACUACCUUGCUCACAGUCACACGUUAAGGUCUAAAGUGAGAAAUUAAACCAAGUCUUCCAAUCUCAAAGACUUUAAAGGAAAAGCUACAAGCUACAAGAAUAAAGAAGUUCUUCAUGUAUAUUUAUGGGAAAAUUGCUAAGGUGUAGUCUCAAGUCCUAAAAAAGCAAAGUUCA
RNAcentral lists this long non-coding RNA (854 nucleotides) under Homo sapiens (human). RNAcentral's name for it is "non-protein coding TAPT1-AS1:17". Lineage: Eukaryota; Metazoa; Chordata; Mammalia; Primates; Hominidae. The record is from RNAcentral.